Molecule: long non-coding RNA, 150 nt
Organism: Coccinella septempunctata (seven-spotted ladybird)
Lineage: Eukaryota; Metazoa; Arthropoda; Insecta; Coleoptera; Coccinellidae
Exons: 2
Source: RefSeq, a predicted model, not a curated record
AUCGAUGAUUUUGAUCCUUGUUAUACCUAAAUGCUUAUUUUAUGUUGCAGACGAUUUUCUUUAAUGAAAGAUUCAAUUUUUUAAUUUUUUCUUGUAUUCCGAUGCCUGAAGAAGGCCCAAUAAAGGUGCCGAAACGUCGCUGAAGGAAUA